GUGAACCUGCGGAAGGAUCAUUGUCGCAAACCAGAGCCACCGGUGAACCAGUUCUGUCANNNNNNNNNNUUUGCGGGUUGUGCAUCURRGGCCYCNAACNAGGCUGACUCNGNNGNNNUCCUCGCACUUGGAGGGCGCUUGGCCGAGUGGUGGUGGGGCCUUUUGGUGCCUGACCGAGCGAGCGGACACCUUUUGGGCGCGGCGUGCGCCAAGGACUUGAAGCGGACUGUGCGGCGUCCCCUCCCGGUGCCUCGCCCCGUCCGGUGCGUCGGGCGUGRCUCGCCGUGGGGUUCGGACCCGCGUCUCUGGAUCUAUAUAAGACGACUCUCGGCAACGGAUAUCUCGGCUCUCGCAUCGAUGAAGAACGUAGCGAAAUGCGAUACUUGGUGUGAAUUGCAGAAUCCCGUGAACCAUCGAGUCUUUGAACGCAAGUUGCGCCCGAGACCACUCGGCCGAGGGCACGCCUGCCUGGGCGUCAUGCCACACCCAUCGCUCCCCCGCGUUCGACCGCUGCGGUCGGCCGGGAGGCGGAGAUUGGCCGCCCGUGCCCCGAUUCGGUGCGCGGUUGGCACAAAGAGCGGGUCACGGUUUGGCACGACACGACGUGUGGUGGUUGAGAGGCGACUCGUCGCAGCUCGGACGUCGUCGCGCCGGAUGUCACGCCGUGCCCACCCGAUCGUGGGACCCAACGCGGAACUGCGACCCCAGGUCAGGCGGGGCCACCCGCU
Molecule: ribosomal RNA, 728 nt
Filed under: Tambourissa longicarpa
Lineage: Eukaryota; Viridiplantae; Streptophyta; Magnoliopsida; Laurales; Monimiaceae
Description: eukaryotic LSU rRNA
Rfam family: 5.8S ribosomal RNA (bases 323-478)
Source: RNAcentral